Molecule: long non-coding RNA, 2767 nt
Filed under: Medicago truncatula (barrel medic)
Lineage: Eukaryota; Viridiplantae; Streptophyta; Magnoliopsida; Fabales; Fabaceae
Description: long non-coding RNA (MTRU_LNC006478)
Source: RNAcentral
ACACACACACACACACCAUACUAGAGAGAUCUAGGGAAACUCCAGUGCGAUCUCCCUCAAAAGCAACAAUAUAUUCUAUUUAUUUUUUGACCUUCCAUGCAAGCGCACCUAUCAUGACAAAUGUCAGGUUCACAGAGAUAUUAUUCAGAUCCACUUCAUCCUCAAACCACAAUCACAAAAGUUUCAUCCUCAUGUAGCUAAAUUCACAACACAAAUCGAGAUUUAAUAUUUUAACGAUGCAACAACACUUAUCUUACAAUAAUCUUCCAUUCAAUACAUAAUGUUGAAGGAAGCAGCAACAAUAUAAAACUCGCGAUCAUAGCAACGAUUUAAUUGUACCUGCAAAGAGGAUACCUCAAUGAACACGAAGAUAAUCCAAAAGCAAGACAAAUACGGAGAUCAUGCUAUCAAUUUUUGAUUGUACAAUAAUUGAUAGAUUCCUACUUUGCAUCCAUUAGUUAUGACAAAAGGAUAAUACCAUCAACAAAACAAAUUCAUAUACUAUAGAGACUGCCGUUUCAAUUACCACAAAUUAGGACUCUUCUAUUUAUGAGGACGCUUUAGAAAUAAUAAAGAUUGACAUUAAUGAUACCAAGUGAAAACUAACUGGGAGGAGACUCUCAAGUUAUGGGAUGAUGAAAGUCAUGAGAAAAAUGAUGAAGGGAUUUUACGUUGAGUUGGGCUAGAGUUUUCAAAAAUGACUAUAACCUUAUUAAUCCACACAAAAAUAAUAUUAUUAAAUCCUAUUGUUUGUGAAUUUGAACUUAAACCAUAUACCAAUAAAGUUAAAUGUGUCAACCAAUAACUAUCCUCAAGCAACAACAACAAAUAACAUGUAAGUGUAAAAUAAAUAUACAAACAUAGUCAAAGAGAAAAAAAAAGCGACAACACAUCAAUGCUUGUUAACCCAGUUCGACCCAAUAUGACCUACAUCUGGGGGGAGAGAUCAGCUCUCCAAUCCACUAUGAAAUUAGUGAUACAAGGAGGUUACAAGAAAUUAGAUCCAAGAGCUUUCGAAAAACUAUCCCUAAUUUCUACCCAUAUAUCAAGUCACUCAGCCCACAAUGAAAUCUCAAGAGAAAAUAAGAGAGAAAAUUUUCAUCUUUUCUCUAAAGAGAGAUCUCACUACCCAAAGUAUACAAAAUAUUCAAAAUAUAAAAAUAUCAUCUGCAUGUCCACCCUUAUCUAAACUCAGUUUUGUCAUCCACCCUUCAUAAACAAAUUCCAUGUACCCAUCAAUAUUCUCUAAGCUCACCACAAAUAAUUUUCUUCUGACAUGUUUCUCCUGUUCGAUACAUCAUGUAUCAACCAUAUUGGCUUUUAUGUGAGUAUAUGUAUCAUGCAUGUUAAGCAAUAAUAUCCUUAGCAAAUAUAAAAUUAAAGUAGAUGUAGUUCAUGUGAACAUAGUACUCUUACAUCAAAUAAUACAAAUUGUAUAGGAAAUCAUAAAGACAUAACAAUAAGAAGUAAAUGAAAGUAAAAUUUGGAAGAAAAAAAAAUGCAUGACAAAGCCUUCAGUUUAUAUCUCUUUGUAUAGAACUAGUUUGCCAAUUAUUCAUAAAUAAUCGUGUCAAAGGCAUUAAAGAAACAAUAUACUAUAACUGCAAUUGAAGUUUUAAUUAAACACUAAACCGUAAACCCUAAUCAUGUGGGAGACGUUAAAAAAUAGCUGGUUAAAUUUCCAUGUAAUAAAGAAUGAAGUAACAUAGCUGCAAUUGAAAGAAUAUAUAACUGCAAUUGAAGUGAUAAUUAUGUAUGAGACAUUAAAGAAAGAAUAUAUGACGCUAAUUGAAGUGUUAAUUUGUGGGCAAUCAUGCCUGAGACAUUAAAGAAAUAUAUUUGUGAAAUUUUCUUAUGAUAAUGAACUGAGUAAUAAUACAACUGCAAUUGAAGUGUUAAUUUGUUGUAAUCAUGUUGGAGACAUUAAAGAAAGAAUAUAUAAAUGCAAAUGAGGUGUUAAUUUAUUGGCUCAUAGCUGAAUUUAAUUUAAGAUCCAAUCUCCUCCACAAUCUUAUUUAAGAGAAUCAAAUUUUAGCGUAAAUAUCAAAACACCAAUUACCUUAACUGAUAACAUAAUUAUCGAAGAACUCCAUUAAGCACUCUCUGCCAAUAAAGAAUAUCGUAAAAAAUUGCAAUCAGAACUUAAUUUAACUGAGUAAAUCUAAAUCACAUAAAUCGUAUCUAGAACCUGGUUUUACAUGAGCACAAAAUUAAUUAACUGAAACAAUCAUAGUUUCUCAAAUUCCGCAUAUAACUUGUUUUAAUUAAACUUUGAAUGUAUAAACUAAGAAAUGAUAGUACCUUAUUCAAGCAAUGGAGAAAAUCCUGUGAUAGUAAUAAAUCCUUUACGAUCAGUGUUAUGAUUUGUUUCUUUGUGAUGCGUGGUAUGUCAAUAAAGAUAAAAGAAAGCAUAACGAGAAGAAGAAGAUCACACACACACCACCACACCUGAGGAAGAUCCCGGGCAAUUCCCGUGCGAUCUUCCUCAGAAACAACAAAAUAUUUUUUUAUUCAUUUUUUUUUACCUGCCAUGCAAGCGCACCUGUCAUGGCAAAGGUCGGUUCACAAUAACAUAAUUUUCAUCAUGUCACUAAAUUCAUAACAACGCUUUUGUUACAAUAAUCUUCUCUUCAAUUUCAAUCCAUGCGAAACUCGCGAUCAUCACAAUGAUCCAAUUGUACCUGCAACGAGAACAUGUGAACUAGGUGGAUGAGCAUUAAGAAAAUCGUGCCUCCUCGCAAUGAUAGAUCUGGCAAAUCGAACUUCA